GAAUGGCAUCACGAGGGUUAUACUGUCUCCUUUUUCUAAUCAGUGAAACUAAUCUUCCCGUGAAGAAGCGGGAAUAAGACUAUAAGACGAGAAGACCCUAUGGAGCUUUAAACAAAAUAACAAUUGCUUCUUUAUUUUAAAAUUCCAGAAAUUUAAGUAUUAUUCUAGCACUAUGAUUAUCAGUUUUAGGUUGGGGUGACCGCGGAGUAAAAAUUAACCUCCACAUUGAAAGGAUAUUUUCCUUAGCAAAAAGCUACAACUUUAUGCAUCAAUAAAUUGACAUUAAUUGACCCAAUAUUUUGAUCAACGAACCAAGUUACCCUAGGGAUAACAGCGCAAUCCACUUCAAGAGCUCCUAUCGACAAGUGG
RNAcentral lists this ribosomal RNA (369 nucleotides) under Ceratophrys aurita (Brazilian horned frog). RNAcentral describes it as "partial 16S ribosomal RNA". It matches the Rfam family "Bacterial large subunit ribosomal RNA", at positions 1994 to 2515 of the family's 2925-position model. The record is from RNAcentral. Lineage: Eukaryota; Metazoa; Chordata; Amphibia; Anura; Ceratophryidae.